UAAACACUGCCUCGUCUGGGAAGACGGCAU
RNAcentral lists this small RNA (30 nucleotides) under Bombyx mori (domestic silkworm). Its description in RNAcentral is "ovarian small RNA-18106". The record is from RNAcentral. Lineage: Eukaryota; Metazoa; Arthropoda; Insecta; Lepidoptera; Bombycidae.